UACAUGAAGCUGGAAUUGCUAGUAAUCAUAGGUCAGCAUACUAUGGUGAAUACGUUCCCGGGCCUUGUACACACCGCCCGUCACACCAUGAGAGUUGAGAAUACCCGAAGUCCAUGUCAAAGUGGCCGAAGGUAGGCUUGAUGAUUGGGGUGAAGUCGUAACAAGGUAUC
Molecule: ribosomal RNA, 170 nt
Filed under: uncultured bacterium
Lineage: Bacteria
Description: partial 16S ribosomal RNA
Rfam family: Bacterial small subunit ribosomal RNA
Source: RNAcentral